AAUGAAUCGCAUGCACUGGAAUUCUAGAGACAGAUUCAAAGGAACGAGAGAUACUUGAGAGAAAGGAUAGAAAAAUAUGAAUUAAAAGAAGAUUAAAGAAGUCAGAAAUGCUAAAUGAGAACAGAUCAAGUAUAUGCCUUUGGCCCAAACUUGAGAACUCUGAGGGAACAGAAAGAUGAAGCAGAAAAAGGAGGAUGCAAGUGAUCUAGCAAUUACACCAUGGAGAUGCCUCAGAGCACUGAGAGGGUUGUUUACAUGUAUUACAAAUAAUGAACCCUUACCCUGAGUGCUGGAGCUACCAGUCAGCCUACAGCAUCUGCACUAGCCCAGAGGGAUUUCAGAGGAACACACCAAUUCAUUUCCUUCUGUCACAAAGCACCCAGCAAUGGAAGCUCUGGAUUCAAACAGAUGAAAGGGUAAGAAACAUAUUAUCACCAUCCCAAACAUGGAAUUCUUCUGAAAAAUACGACUUAUAGUAAACACUUCCCCAAGACCUUGUGUGAACUAUUUAACAAGAGCACAAAGACAGGUGGCUUUGCCAGCCAGGCAAGAUCCUAAGAUGUAGAUGUUUAUGUUUUUUUAACCUCCAAUUAUCUCUGUGGAGUAGAGGAGACUGCUUUUAAGGCUGCAGAGAGCAGGAAGUGCUAAGUAUAUUCAUAAAGGUGUGGCUUAGCUCCCUAGCAAUUCCUUGGCAACAGAGACUGCUAGCCUUAAGUAAAACAAACAGGCUUUGUGGAAAUCAAAAGUUGAGAAUGCAAGCUAUUCACAUCUCUUUGAUUAAAGCAGCCAAUCCUUGAUUGAAGGUGGGGGGCUCCACCUUGUUCCCCUAAACCAAACAGAUUCACAAGGUUUGGAUAGAUAGAUCCUGGGCUUUGAUAACAGUGAAAAAUAUAAAAUGUGUUUUAAAGUCAGUUUUGCUAGAUGUGUUGUGAGAAAAGGAGAAGUUUACACAUUAAUUUAUCAAAAAUUUGAUGUUUUAUACAUCCUCCGAUAGAGAUUCCUGCAUAGAUAAAAUGUAAUCCAGAGUUUUGAAGAGCCAGGAAGACCUGAUUUCACAAUCUUGCAUCUUAUGUCUAUAUAAAGUAGGUGUGAAAUGCUGCCCAUGGUGACUCAGUGUGACAGUGACAGCUGGCCUGACUGCCCUCAGUGAGGCUGCAGGUGUUCAGAGUACCUGGCCCGAGGAAAGCUGGAUGUGCCCUAAAGCCAUGGAUUCGUGCCCUAAAGCCAUGGAUUCAUGACCCAGCAGGCAGAAGUGCCCCCUUGGGUGCCCAUUCCCACCAGUCCUGUUUUUUCCAGGAUAACUGAACUGAAUGAGGGAAUGACUCCACUUUAGAGAAUAGAGGAUGGACUCCUAAAACUCCCUCCUCACACAAAGCAGAGCACUUUAGUCUGGAAAAGAGUAGUUAAAAGUUAGUUAUGCCCUAGACAUCUCCCUCACCCAGAGCCAGAGCGUUAUCAUCGCUAUCAUGGCUGCAUUCACCCAAGUCAGUGCAGAGCCGCUCCCAGAAUGUGCCAGGUAACCUCCUCUCCUGUGCCCCCGGGCUCUCUUUUUCCUCACCACCAGGAAUUUCAGUGUAGAAAAGGCAAAAUCUUAAUGUAUGUUAACCGUGUGACACCAUGGCUGAAAUAAUUGUUUGAGGAAAACAAGGAAUGACCGAACGCAAGGUGACAUUUCCUGUCAAACAAGGGUGUGCCACGUUAGCAGAGGGUUGUGAAAAGGAGGUGAGGUAGUACUGGCACUUAUGAAACAGCUCUGUCAGGGUAUAUUAUCACAACUCCAACUCGCUGGGAAGGGAAUUGCACCUGCUUGCAUGUGCUUAGUUAUUAUCUGUGCUUAUAAAGCAAUUCUAUAGCUGUUAAGUGAUAAAAUGCACUGAAUUGCAUCAUAUGGCGUCUUCAAUUUAAAAUUUCUACAGUGUGCCAAAAGGAAUAAUCUAGGUAUACCUGUUUUCUCUCUGUCUGAGUACAUUUACUGACUGUGCAUUAUGUUUCUCUGAGAAUAUUUCUUCUCAGGAAACCAUAUCACUCUCCUGCAUCAGCCAGAUGUAUCUAUGAGGACAUUACUUCUGUCUCCCUUCCACAGUGUGUAGGAUCCAGCAUCAGGCCAAAGCAAGAGUUUCAGUUAUGAGACAUAAUCCUUGUAUGGACCUCUCUAAAUAUGCCUGCCAGGAUUAAAGCUAAAGUAUUUCCAGGAUUGCUUCUCAGGCAGCUCCGUGAGUUGCAGAGACAACAGCUGAGAGGUGUUUAACUGUCUUGUGAUGUCCAGUGAGAUGCACCUGUGCAAGGUUUCCUGCAUGGCCUC
This is a long non-coding RNA of Melospiza melodia melodia, 2302 nucleotides long. RefSeq lists it as uncharacterized. The transcript is spliced from 5 exons. NCBI's taxonomy places the organism in Eukaryota, Metazoa, Chordata, Aves, Passeriformes, Passerellidae. The record is from RefSeq and is a predicted model, not a curated record.